CCGGUCUCCGGGGUCGACGACAUAGCGGGGUAAGGUCUUCACGUCUGAGGAAGAGAUCUGUGGCUGCGGGAGAUCUCUGCGGAUUGGGGCUCCAGCCUGACUGACCCGACAGUGCGGGUGGCCUAGGGGGAGGCGCUCAGAGUAGGAACCCGGGGGUGCAGACGGGAUCUGCCGGAUCCCCAGGCGUGUGUGUGCGCGGGUAUCAGAGGAGGGGGAUUGUGAGAUCAUGAGUGACGGAGGGGACUGUGAGUGUGUGCGUGAGGUUCUAUGCACAGGCCCGGGAGGGCGUGUGGACGCAGCGCACUUUGCUGAGUGACACUGUGCCGGUGCCCCUAGGCUCCUGCUGCUUCCUCCCUCUUUCCGCUUCACAGCUGCGGGGACUGCAGCAGAGGAAUGGCCCCAGUAGGGAGGUCAGAUAUUGAGCCGAGAAUGAAGCUUUACACAAGAAAGCGCAGAAGUGCCCCCGAGUGUUCCCCAGGGGGGCAGCUACAUGUUGAGAACCACAGCGUCCUCAGAGCUCUGUCCCCAGAAACCAGCUCCAAACUGGUUGUACUGGUUGAAUCGAUUCCUCUUCCUUUUACUUCCUUCCUAUUUCGUGUGAAGUGAGGGAAAUUGUGGCUAUGGAGGGAGGGUGUUUUCAAACUUAGUCUGCGCUCCAAGAAAUGCCUGGAGUCUCACGCUUGCCGUAUCCUUCUCCAGUCGUAUUUUUAUCCAAAAGAAGGACCUGGAGGAGGAUGAGAGCGUUACUGCUGCACACCUAAAGUCAAGGGGGAGAAGCCCGAGGAAGAUUGACCAGUUUUGUAAUUCUAGCAACAUGGUCCAUGGAUCAGUGACAUUCAGGGAUGUGGCCAUUGACUUCUCUCAGGAGGAGUGGGAGUGCCUGCAGCCUGAUCAGAGGACCUUGUACAGGGAUGUGAUGUUGGAGAACUACAGCCACCUGAUCUCACUGGGAAGUUCCAUUUCUAAACCAGAUGUAAUUACGUUACUAGAGCAAGAGAAAGAGCCCUGGAUGGUUGUAAGGAAAGAAACAAGCAGACGGUAUCCAGGGGAGAAGCCCGAGGAAGAUUGACCAAUUUUGUAAUUCUAGAAACAUGGUCCAUGGAUCAGUGACAUUCAGGGAUGUGGCCAUUGACUUCUCUCAGGAGGAGUGGGAGUGCCUGCAGCCUGAUCAGAGGACCUUGUACAGGGAUGUGAUGUUGGAGAACUACAGCCACCUGAUAUCACUGGGAAGUUCCAUUUCUAAGCCAGAUGUGAUUACAUUACUAGAGCAAGAGAAAGAGCCCUGGAUUGUUGUAAGUAAAGAAACAAGCAGAUGGUAUCCAGGUAAGUGAGAGUAAAGCAGGCAGGGGGAAGCCAUCAUUGUCCCGGACAGCCCAUGUGCUCAGAGAGGAGUCACACCCCUGAGAUGUGGUUUGGAAAACUUUCUUCAAUAACCCAAGGUCCCCCACUGGACAAAAAUGCCCAAGACCUGGGAAGGAAAUAAGAUCACUGUAGGAGCUGUCCCCAAGGAACUUCAUCAUUUACUAAUCACCUAAUUUCUGUUAUUUUCUUCCUCUUUUAAUGAAGUGAGCUUCCUCUUUCUUUCCCAGUGUAAACUUUAAACAGUUUUUAAAAUUAUUUUUUAAGAGGCAGCAUCUUGCUAUGUUGCCCCAGCUGAUCUUGAACUCUUGGCCUCAAGUAGUCUUCCUGCCUCAACCUCCUAAGUAGCUGAAAUUACAGGCAUGAGCCAAUGCUUCUGGCCCCCAGUGUAAACUUUUAACACGUAUUUUGGAUCCAGCUACUUUCCAACUCUGCUUUUGCAUUUAGAUUUCUACAUGUGUUUUCACUAAGAAAUGUAUUCAUGUUCAGUAAAUAUGUAUAGAGUGCGCAUUCCUAGAAGGCAUAUGCUUGGCUCUGGUCAAUACUGUAAUGUACAGGUAAUGAACAAGACUGAGAAAGUCACUGCUGUCAUGGACUUUACCAGCAGUUGGUGAGACAUGCCUCAAACAAGUAAGCAAAUGAAUAGAUAAGGAAUACCAAAUAAUCAUGCUAUAGAGACAAGGAAAUAGGAGUGAUGGGGUGAGAAUGGCAGCACUUGGGUGCUUAGGGUACCUGUCUGGAAGUGGGCUUGCUUGCAUAGAGAUGUGAAGUAAGUGUUCAAGUACUCUAGUCAGACUGAGCAGGAAACACAAAGGUGGAGUAAGUAAUGGAACAGCGGGAAGAAAGGUCUGAGAGUUACGUCGGAGUCGUAUCAUACAGGGUUUUGACUGUCGUUGUGAGGAAUGUGGGAAGUUCUUCAAGAGUUAUUUAUUCAUUUUUAAUUGAUACCCAAUAUUUGUACAUAUUUAUGGGAUACAUGUUAUGUUUUGUUCCAUGCAUAGAAGGUGUAAUGAACAAGUGUCAGGGUAUUUGAGGUAUCCAUCAGAUCCACCAGAGGAGGGUUUAUCAUUUCUUUCUGAUAGGAACAUUUCAAGUCUUCUAGCUAUUUUGAAAUAUACAAUACAUUGUUGUUAAUUAGAGUCACUCUACUCUGCUUAUGAACAUUAGAAGUCAUUCCUCAUAUUUAACUGUAUGUUUGUAACAUUAACCAACUCCUCUUCAUCCCCCACCCCUCACCCACACACCCUUCCCAGCCUCUGGUUUCUAUCAUUCUAUUCUUUACCUCUGUGAGAUCUUUUUUUAGCCUCCAGAUAUGAAUGAGAACAUAUGAUAUUUGUCUUUCUUUUUUUUGAGUUGGAGUCUCAUUCUUGUCGCCCAGGCUGGAGUGCAGUGGUGCGAUCUUGGCCCACUGCAACCUCCACCUCCUGGGUUCAAGCAAUUCUCCUGCCUCAGCCUCUAGAGUAACUGGGAUUACAGGUGCCUGCCACCACGCCUGGCUAAUUUUUGUAUUUUUAAUAGAGACAGGGUUUCACCACAUUGGCCAGGCUGGUCUCAAAUUCCUGACCUCAGGUGAUUCACCCACCUCGGCUUCCCAAAGUGCUGGGAUUACAGGUGUGAGCCACUGCGCCCAGUCUGAUAUUUGUCUUUCUGACCUCCGAUUCCCUCCAUGUUGCUGCAAAUGACAUGAUUUCAUUUUUUAAAUGCCUGAAUAGUAUUCCAUGUGUAUAUAUCACAUUUUCUUUAUCUGUUUGUCUGUUGGGGGACACUUAGGUUGAUUCCAUACCUUUGGUAUUUUGAAUAAUGCUACAGUAAUCAUACAAGUGCAGGUAUCAUUUUGAUAUACUGAUUUUAUCUUCCUUUGGAUUAAUACCCAGUAGUGGGAUUGUUGGAUCAUAUGGUAGUUCUAUUUUCAGGUUUUUGAGAAAUCUGCAUGCUGUUUUCCAUAGUGAUUGUACUAAUUUAUAUCCCACCAACAGUAUAUAAGAGUUCCCUUUUUCCCUCAUCCUCUCAGGUAUGUUUAAACCCAAUGUUUCUUUGUUAAUUUUCUCUCUAGAUGAUCUAAUUCUGAGAGUGGCACAGUGACGUCCCCAGUGAUUAUUAUACUGUAGUAUCUCUCUCCCUUUUGCUCUAAUAAUAUUUGCCUUAUAUAUCUGGGUGUUCUGGUGUUGGUGUUAUAUGUUUAGAAUUGUUAUAUUCUCUUGCUGAAUUGAUCCCUUUAUCAUUAUAUGAUGACCUUCUUUGUCUCUUUUUGCUGUUUUUUACUUAAAAUCUGUUUUUUUCUGAUAUAAACGUAGCUAUUUCUACUCACUUUUGGUUUCCAUUUGUAUGGAAUAUCUUUUCCUGUUCUUUUACUUUCAAUCCAUAUGUGUCUUUACCAGUGAGAAGAGUUUCUUGUAGGCAGCUUAUAGUUGGAUCAUGUUUUUUCAUCCAUUCAGCCCGUCUGUAUCUUUUAAAUGAAGUUUAAUCCAUUGACGUUCAGUGUGAUUACUGAUAUGUGAGGGCUGAUUCUUAUCAUUUUAUUAAUUGAUUUCUAGUUGUUUUGUUUAUCCUUUGUUCCUUUCUCUUUUAUUUUUUAUCAUUGUGGUUUGGUUGUUUUCUUUAGGGGUAACAUUUGAGUCCUUUGUCCUUAUUUGUAUGUUUGCUGUGUCAGUAGGUUUUAUACUUUUGUGUGUUUUCACAAUGGUAGAUAUUGUCCUUUCACUUCUAGGUGUAGGACUCUUGAACAUAUCUUGUAGGGUUGGUCCAGUGGUGAUGAAUUCUGUCACCUUUUGCUGUCUGGGAAAGACUAUUUCUUUUUCAUUUUUGUAGAAUACUUUGCUGAGGAUAGUGUCCUUGACUGGUGAUUUUUUUCUUUCAACACUGAAUGUAUAAUCACAUUCUCUCUCAUUUCUCUCUGUUGAGAAAUCUGCUGUUAGGCUGAUGAGAGUUUCCUUGUAAGUGACUAGAUGCUUUUCUCUUGCUGUUUUUAGUAUUCUCUUUUGUCUUUGACUUUUAUAUUUUGACCAUAAUAUGCCAUGGAGAAGACCUUUUUGUAUUGUAUCUAUUUGGGUAUCUCUGAGCUUCCUGUAUCAAGAUGUCUGCAUCUCUUACUAGAGUUGGAAAGUUUCCUGCUAUUAUUUCAUUAAAUAGAUUUUCUAUCCUUUAUGUUUUCUCUUUGUCUCUAGGACCUCAAAAAUUCAAAUAUUUUGUUGUUUUAUGAUGUCCCAUAUGUUACGGUGGCUUUAUUCAUUCAUUCAGAUGUUCUGAGGAAAACAUUUAUCCUAAGGCUUAAAAGAUGAGUUAGAGGGGUGGAACCAAGAUGGCCGAAUAGGAACAGCUCCGGUGUACAGCUCCCAGCAUGAGCGAUGCAGAAGAUGGGUGAUUUCUGCAUUUCCAUCUGAGGUACCGGGUUCAUCUCACUAGGGAGUGCCAGACAGUGCAUGCAGGACAGUGGGUGCAGCGCACUGUGUGCAAGCCAAAGCAGGGCGAGGCAUUGCCUCACUCGGGAAGUGCAAGGGGUCAGGGAGUUCCCUUUCCUAGUCAAAGAAAGGGGUGACAGAUGGCACCUGGAAAAUCGGGUCACUCCCACUCUAAUAUUGUGCUUUUCCAAUGGGCUUAAAAAACGGCACACCAGGAGAUUAUAUCCCGCACAUGGCUCGGAGGGUCCUAUGCCCACAGAGUCUCACUGAUUGCUAGCACAACUGUCUUGAGAUCAAACUGCAAGGUGGCAGCAAGGCUGGAGGAGGGGCGCCUGCCAUUGCCCAGGAUUAGGUAAACAAAGCAGCCGGGGAGCUCAAACUGGGUGGAGCCCACCACAGCUCAAGGAGGACUGCCUGCCUCUGUAGGCUCCACCUCUGGGGGCAGGGCAAAAAGACAGCAGUAACCUCUGCAGACUUAAAUGUCCCUGUCUGACAGCUUUGAAGAGAGGAGUGGUUCUCCCAGCACGCAGCUGGAGAUCUGAGAACAGGCAGACUGCCUCCUCAAGUGUUUCCCUGACCCCCGAGCAGCCUAACUGGGAGGCAACCCCCAGUAGGGGCAGACUGACACCUCACACGGCCGGGUACUCCUCUGAGACAAAACUUCCAGAGGAACGAUCAGGCAGCAGCAUUUGCGGGUCACCAAUAUCCACUGUUCUACAGCCACCACUGUUCUGCAGCCACUGCUGCUGAUACCCAGGCAAACAGGGUCUGGAGUGGACCUCUAGCAAACUCCAACAGACCUGCAGCUGAGGGUCCUGUCUGUUAGAAGGAAAACUAACAAACAGAAAGGACAUCCACACCAAAAACCCAUCUGUACGUCACCAUCAUCAAAGACCAAAAGUAGAUAAAACCACAAAGAUGGGGAAAAAACAGAGCAGAAAAACUGGAAACUCUAAAAAGCAGAGUGCCUCUCCUCCUCCAAAGGAAUGCAGCUCCUCACCAGCAAUGGAACAAAGCUGGACAGAGAAUGACUUUGACAAGUUGAGAGAAGAAGUCUUCAGACAAUCAAACUACUCCGAGCUACAGGAGGAAAUUCAAACCAAUGGCAAAAAAGUUAAAAACUAUGAAAAAAAAUUAGACGAAUGGAUAACUAGAAUAACCAAUGCAGAGAAGUCCUUAAAGGAGCUGAUGGAGCUGAAAGCCAAGGCUCGAGAACUACAUGAAGAAUGCAGAAGCCUCAGGAGCUGAUGCGAUCAACUGGAAGAAAGGGUAUCAGUGAUGGAAGACAAAAUGAAUGAAAUGAAGUGAGAAGAGAAGUUUAGAGAAAAAAGAAUAAAAAGAAAUGAACAAAGCCUCCAAGAAAUAUGGGACUAUGUGAAAAGACCAAAUCUACGUCUCAUUGGUGUACCUGAAAGUGACGGAGAGAAUGGAACCAAGUUGGAAAACACUCUGCAGGAUAUUAUCCAGGAGAACUUCCCCAAUCCAGCAAGGCAGGCCAACAUUCAGAUUCAGGAAAUACAGAGAAUGCCACAAAGAUACUCCUCGAGAAGAGCAACUCCAAGACACAUAAUUGUCAGAUUCACCAAAGUUGAAAUGAAGGAAAAAACGUUAAGGGCAGCCAGAGAGUAAGGUCGGGUUACCCACAAAGGGAAGCCCAUCAAACUAACAGCGGAUCUCUUGGCAGAAACUCUACAAGCCAGAAGAGAGUGGGGGCCAAUAUUCAACAUUCUUGAAAGAAUUUUCAACCCAGAAUUUCAUUCCAGCCAAACUAAGUUUCAUAAGUGAAGGAGAAAUAAAAUCCUUUAUAGACAAGCAAAUGUUGAGGGAUUUUGUCACCACCAGGCCUGCCCUAAAAGAGCUCCUGAAGGAAGCACUAAACAUGGAAAGGAACAACCGGUGCCAGCCACUGCAAAAACAUGCCAAAAUGUAAAGACCAUCAAGGCUAGGAAGAAACUGCAUCAAGUAAUGAGCAAAAUAACCAGCUAACAUCAUAAUUACAGGACCAAAUUCACACAUAACAAUAUUAACUUUAAAUGUAAAUGGGCUAAAUUCUCCAAUUAAAAGACACAGACUGGCAAAUUGGAUAAAGAGUCAAGACCCAUCAGUGUGCUGUAUUCAGGAAACCCACCUCACAUGCAGAGACACACAUAGGCUCAAAAUAAAGGGAUGGAGGAAGAUCUACCAAGAAAAUGGAAAACAAAAAAAGGCAGGGGUUGCAAUCCUAGUCUCUGAUAAAACAGACUUUAAACCAACAAAGAUCAAAAGAGACAAAGAAGGCCAUUACAUAAUGGUAAAGGGAUCAAUUCAACAAGAAGCGCUAACUAUCCUAAAUAUAUAUGCACCCAAUACAGGAGCACCCAGAUUCAUAAAGCAAGUCCUGAGUGACCUACAAAGAGACUUAGACUGCCACACAAUAAUAAUGGGAGACUUUAACACCCCACUGUCAACAUCAGACAGAUCAACGAGACAGAAAGUUAACAAGGAUACCCAGAAAUUGAACUCAGCUCUGCACCAAGCAGACCUAAUAGAUAUCUACAGAACUCUCCACCCCAAAUCAACAGAAUAUACAUUCUUUUCAGCACCACACCACACCUAUUCCAAAAUUGACCACAUAGUUGGAAGUAAAGCACUCCUCAGCAAAUGUAAAAGAACAGAAAUUAUAACAAACUGUCUCUCAGACCACAGGGCAAUCAAACCAGAACUCAGGAUUAAGAAACUCACUCAAAACCACUCAACUACAUGGAAACUGAACAACCUGCUCCUGAGUGACUACUGGGUACAUAACGAAAUGAAGGCAGAAAUAAAGAUGUUCUUUGAAACCAACAAGAACAAAGACACAACAUACCAGAAUCUCUGGGACACAUUCAAAGCAGUAUGUAGAGGGAAAUUUAUGGUACUAAAUGCUCACAAGAGAAAGCAGGAAAGAUCCAAAAUUGACACCCUAACAUCACAAUUAACUAGAAAAGCAAGAGCAAGCACAUUCAAAAGCUAGCAGAAGGCAAGAAAUAACUAAAAUCAGAGCAGAACUGAAGGAAAUAGAGACA
This 7801-nucleotide long non-coding RNA is filed under the name Homo sapiens (human). RNAcentral describes it as "non-protein coding lnc-ZNF780B-3:1". The record is from RNAcentral. Lineage: Eukaryota; Metazoa; Chordata; Mammalia; Primates; Hominidae.